This 323-nucleotide ribosomal RNA is filed under the name uncultured bacterium. RNAcentral describes it as "bacterial SSU rRNA". It matches the Rfam family "Bacterial small subunit ribosomal RNA", at positions 28 to 334 of the family's 1533-position model. The record is from RNAcentral.
GAUGAACGCUGGCGGCGUGCCUAACACAUGCAAGUCGAGCGGAAGCUCCUGUAUUGAACUUCGGUGGAUUGACGGUAGCCGAUAGCGGCGGACGGGUGAGUAACGCGUAGGCAACCUGCCCCUCACAGAGGGAUAGCCACUGGAAACGGUGAUUAAUACCUCAUAACGCGAGAGAGUCACAUGGUUCUUUCGCCAAAGAUUUAUCGGUGAGGGAUGGGCCUGCGUCUGAUUAGCUAGUUGGUGGGGUAACGGCCUACCAAGGCGACGAUCAGUAGCCGACCUGAGAGGGUAAUCGGCCACAUUGGAACUGAGACACGGUCCAA